This 253-nucleotide ribosomal RNA is filed under the name uncultured bacterium. RNAcentral describes it as "partial 16S ribosomal RNA". It matches the Rfam family "Bacterial small subunit ribosomal RNA", at positions 524 to 778 of the family's 1533-position model. The record is from RNAcentral.
UACGUAGGAGACGAGCGUUGUCCGGAAUCACUGGGCGUAAAGCGCGUGUAGGCGGAUGGGCAAGUCUGCUGUAAAGGCCCUGGCUUAACCAGGGAUGUCGGUGGAAACUGCUCGUCUGGAGGACGGUAGAGGUAGGUAGAAUUCCCGGUGUAGUGGUGAAAUGCGUAGAGAUCGGGAGGAAUACCUGUGGCGAAGGCGGCCUACUGGGCCGGACCUGACGCUGAGACGCGAAGGCGUGGGGAGCGAAACGGGG